RNAcentral lists this ribosomal RNA (164 nucleotides) under uncultured bacterium. RNAcentral's name for it is "partial 16S rRNA". It matches the Rfam family "Bacterial small subunit ribosomal RNA", at positions 355 to 511 of the family's 1533-position model. The record is from RNAcentral.
UAGGGAAUCUUCGGCAAUGGACGAAAGUCUGACCGAGCAACGCCGCGUGGUGAAGAAGGUUUUCGGAUCGUAAAACUCUGUUGGUAGAGAAGAACGUUGGUGAGAGUGGAAAGCUCAUCAAGUGACGGUAACUACCCAGAAAGGGACGGCUAACUACGUGCCAC